CCCUUAGAUGUCCUGGGCCGCACGCGCGCUACACUGAUGCAUUCAACGAGUUUCACCUUGGCCGAGAGGCCUGGGCAAUCUUUUAAACCUGCAUCGUGAUAGGGAUAGAUUAUUGCAAUUGUUAAUCUUGAACGAGGAAUUCCUAGUAAACGCAAAUCAUCAAUUUGCAUUGAUUACGUCCCUGCCCUUUGUACACACCGCCCGCCGCACCUACCGAUUGAAUGGUCCGGUGAAGCCUCGGGAUUGUGGCCAGUUCACUUUAUUGGGAGUUGGCUGUGAGAACUUGUCUAAACCUUAUCAUUUAGAGGAAGGUGAAGUCGUAACA
RNAcentral lists this ribosomal RNA (325 nucleotides) under uncultured eukaryote. RNAcentral describes it as "partial 18S ribosomal RNA". It matches the Rfam family "Eukaryotic small subunit ribosomal RNA", at positions 1470 to 1796 of the family's 1831-position model. The record is from RNAcentral.